This 389-nucleotide ribosomal RNA is filed under the name Syndiniales sp. Its description in RNAcentral is "partial small subunit ribosomal RNA". It matches the Rfam family "Eukaryotic small subunit ribosomal RNA", at positions 582 to 975 of the family's 1831-position model. The record is from RNAcentral. Lineage: Eukaryota; Dinophyceae; Syndiniales.
AUUCCAGCUCCAAUAGCGUAUAUUAAAGUUGUUGCGGUUAAAAAGCUCGUAGUUGGAGUUCUGCCAGGUGACGCUCGUCCGCCCAAGUGGUGUGUACAGGGCGUGCAUCUGGCCCUUUCAAGGGGAACGUGUCUGCUCUUUAUUGAGUGGUGCGAGAUCCUUGACUUUUACUUUGAGGAAAUCAGAGUGUUCCAAGCAGGCUCUCGUCGUGUAUAGCUCAGCAUGGAAUAAUAGCAUUGGACUUCGUUUCUAAGCUGUUGGUUGCAAGAAGCGACUUAAUGAUUAAUAGGGACAGUCGGGGGCAUUUGUAUUCAAACGACAGAGGUGAAAUUCUUGGACCGUUUGAAGACAAACUACUGCGAAAGCAUUUGCCAAGAAUGGUUUCAUCA